UAGUCAUAUGCUUGUCUCAAAGAUUAAGCCAUGCAUGUCUAAGUUCAUACUGUCCUACGGUGAAACCGCGAAUGGCUCAUUAAAUCAGUCGAGGUUUACUUGAUGAAAAUUAUCCUACUUGGAUAACUGUGGCAAUUCUAGAGCUAAUACAUGCGAACGAAGCUCCGACCCUCGCGGAAAGAGCGCUUUUAUUAGUUCAAAACCAAUCGCCGUGCCCUUCGCGGGGUGCGGCGUCCAAUUGGUGACUCUGGAUAACUUUGUGCUGAUCGCAUGGCCUUCGUGCCGGCGACGCAUCAAUCAAAUGUCUGCCCUAUCAAAUGUCGAUGGUACGUGAUAUGCCUACCAUGUUUGUAACGGGUAACGGGGAAUCAGGGUUCGAUUCCGGAGAGGGAGCAUG
Molecule: ribosomal RNA, 397 nt
Filed under: Ancylus fluviatilis
Lineage: Eukaryota; Metazoa; Mollusca; Gastropoda; Ancylidae
Description: SSU rRNA
Rfam family: Eukaryotic small subunit ribosomal RNA
Source: RNAcentral